CCAAUAGCGUAUAUUAAAGUUGUUGCAGUUAAAAAGCUCGUAGUUGAAUUUCGGGAUCAAUGUUUCGGUCAUGCCGUUGGUAUGUACUGAUAUUAUUGGUUUCUCACCUUCUAAAGAACCGUAACGCCAUUAAUUUGGUGUCACGGGGAAUUAGGACUGUUACCUUGAAAAAAUUAGAGUGUUUAAAGCAGGCUCACGCUUGAAUACAUUAGCAUGGAAUAAUGAAAUAGGACAUCCGAUUCUAUUUUGUUGGUUUCUAGGAUCGAUGUAAUGAUUAAUAGGGAUAGUUGGAGGCAUUAGUAUUCAAUUGUCAGAGGUGAAAUUCUUGGAUUUAUUGAAGACUAACUACUGCGAAAGCAUUUGCCAAGGAUGUUUUCAUUAAUCAAGAACGAAAGUUAGGGGAUCGAAGACGAUCAGAUACCGUCGUAGUCUUAACCAUAAACUAUGCCGACUAGGGAUCGGAUGAUGUUAAUUUUUUAAUGACUCAUUCGGCGCCUUACG
This 501-nucleotide ribosomal RNA is filed under the name uncultured Glomeromycotina. RNAcentral's name for it is "partial small subunit ribosomal RNA". It matches the Rfam family "Eukaryotic small subunit ribosomal RNA", at positions 591 to 1092 of the family's 1831-position model. The record is from RNAcentral. Lineage: Eukaryota; Fungi; Glomeromycota.